UGGCUCAGAACGAACGCUGGCGGCGUGCUUAACACAUGCAAGUCGAGCGAUGAAGCACCUUCGGGUGUGGAUUAGCGGCGAACGGGUGAGGAACACGUGAGGAAUCUGCCUUCCACUCUGGGAUAACUCCGGGAAACCGGGGCUAAUACCGGAUACUUUCAACUGGCGGCAUCGCCGGUUGAAGAAAGUUUUUCGGUGGAAGAUGACCUCGCGGCCUAUCAGCUUGUUGGUUUUGUAAUGGCUCACCAGGNCAACGACGGGUAGCCGGCCUGAGAGGGCGACCGGCCAC
Molecule: ribosomal RNA, 289 nt
Filed under: uncultured bacterium
Lineage: Bacteria
Description: partial 16S ribosomal RNA
Rfam family: Bacterial small subunit ribosomal RNA
Source: RNAcentral